GAUGAACGCUGGCGGCGUGCCUAAUACAUGCAAGUCGAGCGAACGGACGAGACGCUUGCUUCUCUGCUGUUAGCGGCGGCCGGGUGAGUCAUACGUGGAUCCCCGACCUAUAAGACUGGGAUAACUUCGGGAAACCGGAGCUAAUACCGGCUACUAUUCUGAACCGCCUGGUUCUAAAGUGCAAAACGGUCUUGCUGUCACUUAUAGCUGGCUCCGCGCGGCAUUAGCUAGUUGGUAAGGUAACGGCUUACCAAGGCAACGAUGCAUAGCCGACCUGAGAGGGUGAUCAGCCACACUGGAACUGAGACACGGGCCAGACUCCUACGGGAGGCAGCAGUAGGGAAUCUUGCGCAAUGGGCGAAAGCCUGACGGAGCAACGCCGCGUGAGUGAUGAAGGUCUUCGGAUCGUAAAACUCUGUUAUUAGGGAGGAACAGAUGUGUAAGAAGAUGUGCACAUCUUGACGGUACCUACUGAAAAAGCCACGGCUAACUACGUG
RNAcentral lists this ribosomal RNA (497 nucleotides) under uncultured bacterium. Its description in RNAcentral is "partial 16S ribosomal RNA". It matches the Rfam family "Bacterial small subunit ribosomal RNA", at positions 28 to 507 of the family's 1533-position model. The record is from RNAcentral.